AAGGGCUUAGCUUAAUAAAAGUAAUUGAUUCGCAUUUAGUUGAUGUAAGAUAAAGUCUUGCAGUCCUUA
Molecule: non-coding RNA, 69 nt
Organism: Ictidomys tridecemlineatus (thirteen-lined ground squirrel)
Lineage: Eukaryota; Metazoa; Chordata; Mammalia; Rodentia; Sciuridae
Source: Rfam